Bubalus bubalis (water buffalo) is the source of this 612-nucleotide long non-coding RNA. RefSeq lists it as uncharacterized. Lineage: Eukaryota; Metazoa; Chordata; Mammalia; Artiodactyla; Bovidae. The record is from RefSeq and is a predicted model, not a curated record. The transcript has 2 exons.
CACAGGGAUGGAACCCACGUCUCUUGCAUUGGCAAGUGGAUUCUUUACCCAUCAUUGAGUUGGCUUUGUAAUAUUUAUCUUGCAGCCAUUUAUGUCAGCAGUUGACAAAAAAGCCAGUUGUUUUUUAAGGCCAAUCCCUCCUGCCAAAAAUCUACAUAAUCUUCAUAUAAGAGAAGGCCACACCUUUUUCUUCUCUGUGACCCCAUUAUACAGGCUUGGAAUGAAGAUUAGAAGUCAUUACAUCAUGAGAUAUUUUGACAGCUGAAAAUAUGUCAUGGAUGUUUGAGCCUGAAUUAAUCAGCAGGGGCGAACAAGAAACCCAAAGGACACACGUGGGACAACCAGAGCUGAGAAGACAUCAGCAAAGAACACCCAGGGAUGCAGAGACCCAACAAGGUGGAGGACACCUCAAGAGAAGUCAAGGAGGAGCACGUGUGUGAGAGAAGACCAGAGUCUAGUUUCCCUACACUCAGUCUCCAUCAUGGAAGGAUGUGGACAGAAACCAUCUUGGUGGAGAAUUGACAUGCUGAGUUGCCUAAUGGGAGCCUUAGUUACUAUGAUUUAACAAGACUGACUUUUUCUCAAGAGUAAGAUCCCAUAAUAUAAAAUACA